GAGUCCAAGUUUUACAGCUUUUACAUCAUGGUUUCUUCCAUCUCCUAUGUACUUAGCAAUGGAUGUUUUCUAAUAAACUGAAUUCCAAUAUGUCAUCCACCCAUUGAAUCUUAUUUUUUUCCUGAGUUAUGGUUGGCUAACCUAAGGACCUCUUUUUUCAUCAACAUCUGAACUUUACUGCACUCUAAGCUUUUCCUUAACAAAAGGGCCAAUUGGUUUGGAUGCUCCAAUUCAUGAACGUGUUGGAAGAACAGUUCUUAAUGGUAACCAGAUAAGUGAAUGGCCACUCUCCCAAGAGAUUUUGAUGACUUCCCUAACCAAUUAGAAGAGAGCAGGAUCCAUGACAUACUUCAACAGUGUGGCAAGAUGGCAUAUGCUUGUUUCAAUUGGGCUGGUACAAUUACAAUGAACUUGCCACUUGAGAAGCUACACAUAUUCACAAAUAUGGUGGCUUCUUAAAAGCUUUUUGAAUUUCUGCAUUUUGAUUCCUAAUAGUUCAUCCACCUAUCAAAUCUUAUUCUAUUAUUGUGGCCUCACCUAGAGCCCUUUGUUCUAGUGACUUCAACACUUCAAUGCUUGCUAAGCCUUCUGUUCUUGUCAAUCUUGUUGUCUUAACUAAGAGGCCAACCCUUUCGAAUGCUCCAAUUCAU
This is a long non-coding RNA of Quercus lobata, 650 nucleotides long. RefSeq lists it as uncharacterized. The transcript has 5 exons. The record is from RefSeq and is a predicted model, not a curated record. Lineage: Eukaryota; Viridiplantae; Streptophyta; Magnoliopsida; Fagales; Fagaceae.